UUUUGCAUCUGCACUUGAUCAGGUGUUUGCCGCUCAGCCUUUAAUUCUGUGACAUCUGCAAGUCAUUUAUCUUAUUAAUAUGCGAUAGGCCAGCUAGUACUUUUGUGGAAGGAAAAUAUGUAUUUUUAAGAGAUUAGUUUUCACAUGUGAUAUGUAAAUAUAAGAUAGAACGUGUACUUAUUUCCCACUUUCAUGCCAAUAAUUUUCUUAAUUAAAUCUAUUGCUAUUCACAUUAGCUCAUGGAAA
This 246-nucleotide unclassified non-coding RNA is filed under the name Hevea brasiliensis (rubber tree). The record is from RNAcentral. Lineage: Eukaryota; Viridiplantae; Streptophyta; Magnoliopsida; Malpighiales; Euphorbiaceae.